CCCUCAGGUCAUGGAGUGUCACCACGGCAAUGGAAGCUCCUCCUUCCCAGAAAGGCAGUGUCAGAGCUGUGUGCUUCCUUGAUACUGAUGAUGAACUCAUGGUCUGUGGUUAUGACACAGGCAGAUUGGAGAUAUGGCAUCAGAGUUCAGUGGUUUACUGGACGAAGGUCAGUGAUGGCGCCUUAUGUGCAGUCACUGGUAUGCCAGAGGAUCAGUUAGCUGUGGCUUGCAGCGACUGCUCUGUAUUU
Non-coding RNA from Pimephales promelas (fathead minnow), 248 nucleotides. NCBI's taxonomy places the organism in Eukaryota, Metazoa, Chordata, Actinopteri, Cypriniformes, Leuciscidae. The record is from RefSeq and is a predicted model, not a curated record.